RNAcentral lists this unclassified non-coding RNA (381 nucleotides) under uncultured Tepidisphaerales bacterium. Its description in RNAcentral is "contains 16S-23S intergenic spacer region". The record is from RNAcentral. Lineage: Bacteria; Pseudomonadati; Planctomycetota; Phycisphaerae; Tepidisphaerales.
UCCGGUUUGUCACCGGCAGUCUCCUAUGAGUCCCCAACUGAAUGCUGGCAACAUAGGGCAGGGGUUGCGCUCGUUGCGGGACUUAACCCGACAUCUCACGACACGAGCUGACGACAGCCAUGCAGCACCUGUACUAGUUCCACCCCGAAGGGCGUACCCUGCUUUCACAGGGAUAAUCCUAGCGAGUCAAGCCCAAGUAAGGUUCUGCGCGUUGCUUCGAAUUGAACCACAUGCUCCACCGCUUGUGUGAGCCCCCGUCAAUUCCUUUGAGUUUUAGCCUUGCGACCGUACUUCCCAGGCGGUCGACUUAGCACUUUUGCUUCGACCAUGACAGCGUCAGAGCUGCCACGAUCUAGUCGACAUCGUUUACGGCCAGGACUA